AAACCAUGCAUCAGGCAUUUUCUAAUUAACUCCUUGAAUUACUCACAUGCUUCAUAUAAUGUUUCAUCCUCAUAUUGCAAAAAAGACGUAAUAUCGCUCCUUAGUUU
Molecule: non-coding RNA, 107 nt
Organism: Gossypium hirsutum (cotton)
Lineage: Eukaryota; Viridiplantae; Streptophyta; Magnoliopsida; Malvales; Malvaceae
Source: Rfam